RNAcentral lists this unclassified non-coding RNA (237 nucleotides) under plant metagenome. RNAcentral describes it as "partial contains small subunit ribosomal RNA and internal transcribed spacer 1". The stretch from base 1 to 46 matches the Rfam family "Eukaryotic small subunit ribosomal RNA", at positions 1786 to 1831 of the family's 1831-position model. The record is from RNAcentral.
AAGUCGUAACAAGGUUUCCGUAGGUGAACCUGCGGAAGGAUCAUUAUCGAGUUAGGGUCUUCUAGGCCCGACCUCCAACCUUUUGUCUACUUAACUUAUGUUGCUUCGGCGAGCCCGCACCUUGAAAAUAUAGGUGGCCGCCGGGGGGUUUAUACCUCUGGUCCGUGCUCGUCGAUAGCCAUUAUUAAACUCUUGUUUAAACAUGUUGUCUAAGUCAUAAACAAAAUUAAAGCAAAA